RNAcentral lists this ribosomal RNA (463 nucleotides) under uncultured Pelotomaculum sp. RNAcentral describes it as "bacterial SSU rRNA". It matches the Rfam family "Bacterial small subunit ribosomal RNA", at positions 923 to 1382 of the family's 1533-position model. The record is from RNAcentral. Lineage: Bacteria; Bacillati; Bacillota; Clostridia; Eubacteriales; Desulfotomaculaceae.
GCACAAGCGGUGGAGCAUGCGGGUUAAUAGGAUGAUACGUCAAGAACCUUACCAGGGCUUGAAAUGACACGGACCGCCUGAGAAAUCAGGUUUCCUGGGCAACCAGGCCGUGCCACAGAUGGUGCAUGGUUGUCGUCAGCUCGUGCCGUGAGAUGUUGGGUUAAGUCCCGCAACGAGCGCAACCCCUACGUUUAGUUGCUAACGCGUGAAGGCGAGCACUCUAGACGAACUGCCGUUGACAAAACGGAGGAAGGUGGGGAUGACGUCAAAUCAUCAUGCCCCUUAUGUUCUGGGCUACACACGUGCUACAAUGGCCGGUACAGACGGACGCAAAGCCGCGAGGUGGAGCAAAUCCUAAAAAGCCGGUCUCAGUUCGGAUUGCAGGCUGCAAUUCGCCUGCAUGAAGUCGGAAUCGCUAGUAAUCGCGGGUCAGCAUACUGCGGUGAAUACGUUCCCGGGCCUU